Hypanus sabinus (Atlantic stingray) is the source of this 1121-nucleotide long non-coding RNA. RefSeq lists it as uncharacterized. NCBI's taxonomy places the organism in Eukaryota, Metazoa, Chordata, Chondrichthyes, Myliobatiformes, Dasyatidae. The record is from RefSeq and is a predicted model, not a curated record. The transcript has 5 exons.
CACUCUGCGGGACAAGGCACGUUCUGCUGAUCCCCAGUCUAUCAGUGACUCGCUGCCCCGUCCCGGCUAAUUUUCGUCAAGACUUGGACGUAGCUGCGCUUUGCCGCCCUGCCUGAGAAAUUGGACUGUCGAGUCAACUGAAGACUAGCGAGAACUGGGGAUGACCUCAUCCAAUGUUGAGACCUUGGUCCAGUUCCAUUCGAAAGGGUUUCGUGCACUGGGAGUUCAUCAUUCGAUGGCGAUGUGAAAACUGACAAGGGUCUCAGCGUGAAAUGUCGACUGCACUCUUUUCCUUGGAUGCUGCCUGGCCUGCAGGGUUCCUCCAGCGAUUUGUUAGAUGGAAUCUCACUGGCUCGCCAAUCGGCCUUGGAUCACCUAGAGAACAGCAAUACCUAUUUUAGGCGGCUCUUUUAUUGAUAACAACUCAAGUCUUCAACGCAAUCAUAUCCUCAGUUCUUAUCAACGGCGUCCAAAACCUGGGCUUCUGUACCUCACCCUGAAACUGAAUCCUUGACUUCACCAUUUGUCAAAGACACAACUGUUGUUGGCAGAACUUCAAAUGGUGAAGAGGAGGCGUUCAGGAGUGAGAUAGAUCAGCCGACUGAGUGGUGGCGCAAUAAGAACCUUGCAUUCAAUGUUAGUGAGGCCAAGGAAUUGAUGGUGGACUUUAAGAGAGGAAGUCGAGGCAGCACAAGACAGUCCUCAUCGAGGGAUCACCAGCGGAAAGGAUGAGCAGUUUCAGCUUCCUGAGUGUCAGCAUCUCCAAAGAUCUAUCCUGACUCCACUAUUCUGAUGCAAUUACAAAGAAAGAACGACAGCGGCUAUAUUUCCUCAGGAGUCUGAGAACUUCUACAGAUGUACUGUGGAGAGCAUUCUGAAUGGUUGCACCACCAUCUGGUACAGAGGGGCCAUUGCACAGGAUCAGAAAAGGACUGCAGAGAGUUGUGAACUCAGCCAACUACACCAUGGUCACUAGCCUUCCCAGCAUCGAGGACAUCUUCAAAAGGUGAUACACCAAAAAAGUGGGAUCUAUCAUUAAGGACCCACAUCAUGCAAGAUGAUCCUCCUCUCAUUUCUGCCAUCAAGGGAGAGGUACAGGAGCCUGGAGAGAGAGGAGAGAA